RNAcentral lists this unclassified non-coding RNA (439 nucleotides) under Hevea brasiliensis (rubber tree). The record is from RNAcentral. Lineage: Eukaryota; Viridiplantae; Streptophyta; Magnoliopsida; Malpighiales; Euphorbiaceae.
GUACAGAUAAGCAGGGUACUCCCUGAAAUGUUGUAUGUGGUUACUUAAGUUGAAAACCAAAAGCUGAACCAUCAUAACAAUCAAAAGGCAGCCACAGGAAGGGGAAAGGAAAAUAAAUGGAAAGGAAAAGCAAAAAAGCCAUAGAAAGUGAGAUAGCAGAUCAAUUCUUAACUCUUUCUCAUAGCAAAACAAGUCCUUUCCAUCCUUAUACUUUCACUUCCAAGUAUUUUUUGCUUACAGUGUUUGCCAAUUCAUAAUCCUAAAUGUUUUCUUUGACCAAUAUAUCUCAUACUAGUCCUUUCUUAUAAAUUUUCUUUUUACUUGUGAAACUAAGAUGUCAAGUUCAUGAAACCUGAGAAACACAUAACAUCUUCAGCUCUUCACUAUGAUAAAUGCCAAAAGGCUUCUUUGCUUUGUACGUCAUCAUGUGUAGCAAAAU